Molecule: unclassified non-coding RNA, 312 nt
Filed under: uncultured Agaricales
Lineage: Eukaryota; Fungi; Basidiomycota; Agaricomycetes; Agaricales
Description: sequence contains 5.8S rRNA gene, ITS2, 28S rRNA gene
Rfam family: 5.8S ribosomal RNA (bases 1-52)
Source: RNAcentral
AACGCAUCUUGCGCUCCUUGGUAUUCCGAGGAGCAUGCCUGUUUGAGUGUCAUUAAAUUCUCAACCCUCCUUGCUCUUGUGGCUUGAGAGUGGAUUGGAUUGUGGGGGUAUGACUUGCUGGCCUUUCUGUUAAGGUCAGCUCCCCUGAAAUGCAUUAGCGGAACUGUUUGCGGUCCCGUCACUGGUGUGAUAACUAUCUAUGCCAACCGUGAUGACUGCUCUCUAGGAGUUCAGCUUCUAACCCAAGUCCCCUUAGGUGGACAUUUUUUGACUUUUGACCUCAAAUCAGGUAGGACUACCCGCUGAACUUAA